Pelobates cultripes (western spadefoot toad) is the source of this 418-nucleotide non-coding RNA. NCBI's taxonomy places the organism in Eukaryota, Metazoa, Chordata, Amphibia, Anura, Pelobatidae. The record is from the annotation of a GenBank genome assembly.
GACUUAAUGAAGCACAGUGGACCAACACCAGCAGAUGACAUGGCUCCCCAAAUCAACACAGACUGUGGAAACUUCACACUGGACUUCAAGCAUCUUGCACUGUGUGCCUCUCCAUUCUUCCUCCAGACUCUGGGUCCUUGGUUUCCAAAUGAGAUGCAAAAGUUGCUCUCAUCAAAAAAGAGUACUUUGGACCACUGAGCAACAGACCAGGUCUGUUUUUCUUUAGCCCAGGUAAGACGUUUCUGACGUUGUUUGUUGUUCAGGAGCGGCUUGACAAGAGGAAUACGACAUCUGAAGCCCAUGUCCAGGAUCCGUCUGUGUGUGGUGGCUCUUGAUGCACUGACUCCAGCCUCAGUCCACUCCUUGUGAAAGUCCCCAACACUUUUGAAUGGCCUUUUCCUGACAAUCCUCUCCAGGC